Molecule: long non-coding RNA, 269 nt
Filed under: Homo sapiens (human)
Lineage: Eukaryota; Metazoa; Chordata; Mammalia; Primates; Hominidae
Description: HSALNT0321225
Source: RNAcentral
GAACGUAACUUUUACAUGCACAACUGUAUUUUUCCUCAUCUCAUCCAAAACUAGGAACAUUGGCAUAGGAAGACAGAAACCUCAGCUUUCAGAAUCCAAUAUACGAGGUGAAGAAGCAGUCAACACAACAAAGAAGAAAGGAGGAAAGCAAGUAGAGGAACAAGGAGGCAAAGGUCUUGCUUGACUCAUCUCUGCUGUGGUGACCUUGGAGGCUUCAUAUUCCAGAUUGCACAGCCAUAAGAUGAAAGAAGACUUCUCACUCACAUUAG